This 305-nucleotide ribosomal RNA is filed under the name uncultured bacterium. RNAcentral's name for it is "bacterial SSU rRNA". It matches the Rfam family "Bacterial small subunit ribosomal RNA", at positions 333 to 631 of the family's 1533-position model. The record is from RNAcentral.
UGGUACCUACGGGGGGCCGCAGUAGGGAAUUUUCGGCAAUGGGGGGCCCCCUGACCGCGCCCCGCCGCUUGCCUUCCUCCUUCCUUCGUUCUGUAAACUUCUGUUAUCAAGUAAGAAAGGCGGAUGAAGUAAAUGACAUCCGAGUGACGGUACUUUAUGAGAAAGCCACGGCUAACUACGUGCCAGCAGCCGCGGUAAUACGUAGGUGGCAAGCGUUAUCCGGAAUUAUUGGGCGUAAAGAGGGAGCAGGCGGCAGCAAAGGUCUGUGGUGAAAGACUGAAGCUUAACUUCAGUAAGCCAUAGAA